RNAcentral lists this ribosomal RNA (468 nucleotides) under uncultured bacterium. RNAcentral's name for it is "partial 16S ribosomal RNA". It matches the Rfam family "Bacterial small subunit ribosomal RNA", at positions 28 to 507 of the family's 1533-position model. The record is from RNAcentral.
GACGAACGCUGGCGGCGUGCUUAACACAUGCAAGUCGAACGGAAAGGCCCUGCUUUUGUGGGGUGCUCGAGUGGCGAACGGGUGAGUAACACGUGAGUAACCUGCCCUUGACUUUGGGAUAACUUCAGGAAACUGGGGCUAAUACCGGAUAGGAGCUCCUGCUGCAUGGUGGGGGUUGGAAAGUUUCGGCGGUUGGAGAUGGACUCGCGGCUUAUCAGCUUGUUGGUGGGGUAGUGGCUUACCAAGGCUUUGACGGGUAGCCGGCCUGAGAGGGUGACCGGCCACAUUGGGACUGAGAUACGGCCCAGACUCCUACGGGAGGCAGCAGUGGGAAAUAUUGCACAAUGGGCGAAAGCCUGAUGCAGCAACGCCGCGUGCGGGAUGACGGCCUUCGGGUUGUAAACCGCUUUCGCCUGUGACGAAGCGUGAGUGACGGUAAUGGGUAAAGAAGCACCGGCUAACUACGUG